CAACCUUAAAGCCCGGCUUUUUAUUGGAUUCUAGUUCUGCUUCGGCGGGACAGGUCCGAAAUGGAUUAACGACGUCGCGAUUACCACGGAAUCGAGCGAAUGGAAUCAUUAACGCUCUGGUUUGAAGUGGCCGGCGGUCUUUUGAAGCGGUCCUUCGGGAUCGUCUUUUUAAC
This 173-nucleotide unclassified non-coding RNA is filed under the name uncultured Gymnoascaceae. RNAcentral's name for it is "sequence contains ITS2". Lineage: Eukaryota; Fungi; Ascomycota; Eurotiomycetes; Onygenales; Gymnoascaceae. The record is from RNAcentral.